This 262-nucleotide ribosomal RNA is filed under the name Gephyromantis redimitus. Its description in RNAcentral is "partial 16S ribosomal RNA". The record is from RNAcentral. Lineage: Eukaryota; Metazoa; Chordata; Amphibia; Anura; Mantellidae.
UAUAAGACGAGAAGACCCCAUGGAGCUUCAAACCAGCUUCAACCCCACCCCCCCCACACCCUUUCAACCCCGGGGCCCUGUGUAUCUGGUUUUCGGUUGGGGCGACCACGGAGCAUAAAAAAACCUCCAUGAUGAACGAGCCUACCCUCUUACCUGAGAAUUACACCUCAAAGAACUAGUAUACUAACAUAAAAUGAUCCAAUAAUUGAUCAACGAACCAAGUUACCCUGGGGAUAACAGCGCAAUCCAUUUCAAGAGCUCC